CAUGAGGGGCUUCAUGGGAGUAACGGCCCAUUACAUGGCCAUGGCAGAGAAAAAAAAACUCCCCGACUGGAGUCAGUUCUGUUGAGCUGUGAUAGAUUCACAGGGUCACACACUGGGGAAAGUAUCAGUGAUACAUUUGAAGUAAUAUGUGAUCAUUUUGGCAUAAAACAUACAUUAGAUUAUAUCAUAUGUGAUCACACUGCAAAUAUGAAAAAGGCCUUCACAGUUUGUUUCCCCAAAGCAAGCAAUGAUCAUGAUGAUGAUAAUGUGGAUAACCCCAGCCUAUGGGAAGAAUUUGGUGAAGAGUACAAUGCUGAUGUAGAAGCUAUCCAAACCAACUGCAGGCAACAGCGCUUACAGUGCUUUACCCAUUCAUUACAACUAGUGAUUAGAGAUGGACUAAAGGAAACAAAAAUCAUAAACAGUCUGAUGGCUAAGGUAACUAAACUUUGCAGCUUACUACAUACUACCUGUGGUCUGAAAGAAGCAUUUGAAACUGAGUUCGGAGCCAAUUGUUGUAUCAAUGCUGCUGUGUCUACCAGAUGGAAUUCCAUCCUCCCAAGGACACAAGGAACUCUGCUUAUCACCAAGGGAAUGGAGCCAGCUAUUGGAGCUAGUGGACAUUUUGGACCCUGUGGUGACUCUCAGUGCUGCCUUUCCUUGUGUACUGUCACUCAACUAUCAUCUGCAAAGUAUACUGAGCACAAGUCGUCACCUAGUCAGUCUUGAUAAAGCACUGCAGCAGUCACUCAAACGCCGAUUCCGGGGGGUGUUUGUGAAUGUCAGAAUGGAGCACUCGGAUGAACAGGCAACAAAACUUCAAUUUGGUGACAAUGUAUACAUAAUGGCUGCACUGCUGGACCCAUCUUUCUGCCUGUUCUGGCUUGAUCAUAAUGUCCUCAUACCACAUGAAGAUAAAGCUGAAUUGAAUAAGUCUGAUUGACAUUGUUUUGGCUGAGGCACGGAAAGUCACCAUUACGGAGAGCAGUAGUGGAGAAGAAGAAGAACAACCACCUGCCAAAACCUCUAGACUGUUCUCUGGCCUCUGCAACAAGAUCAGCAAGAAGAAAGGAGACAUAAAUUCAUCUGUCAGAGCAGAGAUUAUUUGCUAUAUUGAAGUAUCUUCUGAUGAAAAUUAAGUUGAUAGCUUGGAUUUUUGGAGAAUCCAUGCAAGACUUUCCAAGGCUCAAGCAGGUAGCAAUGACAGUGUUGGCUAUGCCUGCCACCAGUGCCCCAGUGGAGAAAGUGUUUAGUCAUGGAGGCCUCAUCAUGCACCCUCAUCGUGCCAGGCUUAGUGCAAGAACACUGACAAACUUGAUCUUUCUGAAAUGUAACCUGUCUACAACAUAAAUGUUCUCUGUCCUAGGGCAUAGGAUGUAAUUUGCUACUUGUUACAGGAAAUUGUAUUUCUGUUGUUAAGUUUCCUGGUCAGUAAGUAUAUUUUAGGGAUAAAGCUCAUUACGCUUGAUAUAUAGGACACUUUAGUAGUGCAGUUAUUGAACAGUUGUCAGUCAUUUUGGUUUACAUUCAUGCUUGUCAUUUAACUUCCCUCACCUACAGAUUUUCUGUUUGUGUGACAGAAUGAAGUGAACUAUAGACAAUGUCUGACACAAAAUACCAUGCACUUUAAAAUGUUGUGUUUGCUUUUUUUCAUAUCCGGUACAAUUGCUUUUAUUAAUGUUAAUGUAAACUGUCUACAUUUUAAAAGGACAUUUAUUUUGAUUUAAA
This 1728-nucleotide long non-coding RNA is filed under the name Salmo salar (Atlantic salmon). RNAcentral describes it as "lncRNA (ENSSSAG00000103545.1)". The record is from RNAcentral. Lineage: Eukaryota; Metazoa; Chordata; Actinopteri; Salmoniformes; Salmonidae.